This 198-nucleotide unclassified non-coding RNA is filed under the name Glomus sp. Its description in RNAcentral is "partial internal transcribed spacer 2". The stretch from base 1 to 65 matches the Rfam family "5.8S ribosomal RNA", at positions 84 to 154 of the family's 154-position model. The record is from RNAcentral. Lineage: Eukaryota; Fungi; Glomeromycota; Glomeromycetes; Glomerales; Glomeraceae.
GUGAAUCAUCGAAUCUUUGAACGCAAAUUGCACUCUCCUGGAUGAGUAUGCCUGUUUGAGUUUCAGCCUCUAAAAAAUCGCCAUCGUUGCUGUUUCGCGGUGGCGUUCGUCGGCAAUUGGGUCAUCUUAAGUCGUUUUGAUUUAAGCGACUUAACAUUUUCAUUUGGUUCCUUAAACGUUUCUAAGAACUAUUUCUUU